This 493-nucleotide ribosomal RNA is filed under the name uncultured bacterium. RNAcentral's name for it is "partial 16S ribosomal RNA". It matches the Rfam family "Bacterial small subunit ribosomal RNA", at positions 28 to 506 of the family's 1533-position model. The record is from RNAcentral.
GACGAACGCUGGCGGCGUGCUUAACACAUGCGAGUCGAACGGUGAAGCGCCUUCCUUUUUGGUGGGUGUGGAUGAGUGGCGAACGGGUGAGUAACACGUGAGUAACCUGCCCCCUUCUUCUGGAUAACCGCAUGAAAGUGUGGCUAAUACGGGAUAUUCUGGGUCUGUCGCAUGAUGGGUCUGGGAAAGAUAUUGUUUCGGUGGGGGAUGGGCUCGCGGCCUAUCAGCUUGUUGGUGGGGUGAUGGCCUACCAAGGCGGUGACGGGUAGCCGGCCUGAGAGGGUGGACGGGCACACUGGGACUGAGACACGGCCCAGACUCCUACGGGAGGCAGCAGUGGGGAAUACUGCACAAUGGGCGCAAGCCUGAUGCAGCGACGCCGCGUGAGGGAUGGAGGCCUUCGGGUUGUGAACCUCUUUCGCCAGUGAAGCAGGCCUGCCUCGUUUGUGGGUGGGUUGACGGUAGCUGGAUAAGAAGCGCCGGCUAACUACGU